AAAAACAUGGCCUUUUGAUUUUGAUUUAAGGUCUAACCUGCCCAAUGAUUUUAUUAUUUAAUGGCCGCGGUAUUUUGACCGUGCAAAGGUAGCAUAAUCAUUAGUUUUUUAAUUGAAAGCUGGAAUGAAGGGUUGAAUGAGAAAAUAACUGUUUUUUUUAUAUUUUAUUAAAACUUUAUUUUUAAGUUAAAAAGCUUAAAUUUUAUUUAAAGACGAGAAGACCCUUUAGAGUUUUAUAAAAAUUUCUUUUUUUUUUCUUUAGAAUUAAUAAAAUUAAAAUGGGAAUUUUUAUUUGGUUGGGGCGAUUAAAAAAUUUAAAAAACUUUUUUUUCUAGAAAACAUUUAUUUAUGAUUAGUUGAUCCAUAUUUUAUGAUUAAAAGAAAAAAUUACCUAAGGGAUAACAGCGUUAUUUUUUUUGAGAGUUCAAAUCGAAAAAAAAGAUUGCGACCUCGAUGUUGGAUUAAAAUUAAAUUAUGGUGUAGAGGCU
RNAcentral lists this ribosomal RNA (488 nucleotides) under Meligethes chevrolati. RNAcentral describes it as "partial 16S ribosomal RNA". It matches the Rfam family "Archaeal large subunit ribosomal RNA", at positions 1901 to 2632 of the family's 2987-position model. Lineage: Eukaryota; Metazoa; Arthropoda; Insecta; Coleoptera; Nitidulidae. The record is from RNAcentral.